GAAACCUCAUCUUGCUCGCCGCCAUCCGGGCGUCGAGCAGUGUUUUUACAAGAAAACACAGGCAAUCCGCCUGGGUGAGGAGAGAGA
RNAcentral lists this non-coding RNA (87 nucleotides) under unclassified sequences. Its description in RNAcentral is "RAGATH-10 RNA". It matches the Rfam family "RAGATH-10 RNA". Rfam says of the family: RNA motif Associated with Genes Associated with Twister and Hammerhead ribozymes (RAGATH). The record is from Rfam by way of RNAcentral.